Molecule: long non-coding RNA, 2679 nt
Filed under: Callithrix jacchus (white-tufted-ear marmoset)
Lineage: Eukaryota; Metazoa; Chordata; Mammalia; Primates; Cebidae
Description: lncRNA (ENSCJAG00000060006.2)
Source: RNAcentral
AUGAGCCAUCCUUCUAUUGAUUUAAGUAUUUUGUUCCAGCCAGUCACAAUUAACUUUGAUUUGUUUUUACUUUCCUCUUAUAGGUUUGCAUUUAAAACACUCUUGGAGCACCAAUUGUCUAAAAUUCUGAGCUGCAGAAGUCUGCUUCAUGAUUCCUCAGGCCUAGCAUGGGAAUAUAGGGAAACUAACACCUGCUGGGGCAAUUACCUAUGUGGUAAGUAUUCCAGCCACCAAUCUUUUGAACAGGCAAUUCUGAGAAGCACUAGGCAUUCUCAGAGGUCCUCUUUUUAACAGCAGGAAUCUUAGGUACUCUUCAGGAACAUUAUUUGGCUUUUCCUCCAACCCUUCCUAUUCUGUCUAUUUCCUCCCUUCUAUUUCUAGAGAAAACUAACAUGCAUCUUAUUCCUUGCCUCAGGCUCUGCUUUUAGUGGAACCCCAGCUAAGAUACUCCUCAUGCUCCUUUCUCCCCAGCACCACAGCUCUCCCCUUGCUCUAGAUCUAGAUAGUUUGCUUCCUUUGGUUCUAUCAAAAUAUACUUUUUUUUUCUUAUCAGUGGAAGAGAGUUCUGCCACUGUAUCUACCAGUACCGCUAAGUCAUAUUGGUUACCAAACGCAUAAUGCACAUUUUCCUCACUCAAACUGUCCUUCAUUAUAAUAAAAACUAUUACUGAAGGUCCACUACAUGUGAGGGCAUAUGCUAACGGUUCCAUGCAGAUUGUUUCAUUUUAUCCUCAUGAUGUCACCAAGAUAAAUAAAAUAAGUAUUUCUAUCUUACAGAUGGAAAAACUGAGGUUCAGAGUGAUUAAGGGCUUUUUUCCAAUACCACAAAGCUAGUAAGAGGCAGAAGCAGCAGUGCAUUCUGAUGUAUCUGACACCAAAGACCAUUGUUUUAACCAUGACACCAUGAAUUCCACCAUAUAAAGAUCUUAGAAAUGAGUUCCUUUAUCAAAUACUAAUAUGCAUGGGUAAAGAGAUAACUCAGUAGAAGGUUGGGAUGAGAGAGCUUGUAUCAAAUAAAGCAAAUAUUUUUUUUAAAAAAGGUCUUCAUUAUCUGCUUAUAAUUGAAUGCAAAUUCUGAAGUAUUGGUUUCAUCAUGAGACUGGAGCUCCAUAAACCUCUAUCUGUUCUGGUGCACAGUGCCUUAUACAUGGUAGGACUUGAUAAAUAUGCACUGAAUGAACUAAUUGGAGUUUCAUGGAAUAUAGCUUAAAAUGACCUCAAUGAGCUCAAAGUUUCAGUGACUCACUUUAUUAAACAAUUGACUGUAACCUCUUUCAAGAUGAUCUGUUACUUGAAAAAUUAAAAUUCCAGUAUUGUCUUAUGUAAUUUAAGACAAAGUGUUUAGAACAAUGUUAUAAUGUGACUCUCAAUUAAAUAUGUUAACUUCAGCUAAUUUAAAACUAUUGGGAGCAAAGGGAGACAGAAAGAUCCCAUCUGAUGUUACAAUAGGUGCGUACUUAGAGAAGCCUGGGAGUGCUGGGUACAGAGGUCAAAUAUAGUAAAUAUGAACUUUUGUGGAGACAGGAGAGGCUACCCAGAAGUCAAAAGAAGAUCUGGUCUCCAUGUGGAAAACAGUGGCAGAGGUAGUAAUCCUUCUUUAUGAUUUAGCUUGCCAAAGUGAGGAACCAUGACAGCUCUUUCGGUCUGAUUCUCCCUAGUUUGACAAAAUUAAUGUAUUUCAUAAAUAUUAAAAUUCAAAAGUCCUUAGGAACUGACUGCAGCUACAUUUUCAGAUCAAGUCUCCAAAUCUAGCAUAUUUAUCUAAUUGCAUCCCUUGAAGUAGAGUUGGAGGUUCACCAUGCAAAUCUUCCCUGACAUUUUGCUGAUAGAACCACUGUUCUCUUCAAACUGCCAUGAUGUUAGACGUCUGACUCUAUGACAUUUUUCUGAAACCUUCAUGAAGUUGUUAGUUUUGAAUGAAAAAGAAAGAUGAGCAUAUGCAAUUUCUACUUGUGCCUUGUGGGUUACUAUUGGAUCUCUUAGGCAACCUAGUGACUAUUUAGCCCCUUAAGAGUGAAAGCAGAAACCAUAGCAGCGCUAUGUAGUUGUCACUAAGAGAAUUGAUACCACCAGUGAAAAACAACAAAGUCAGAUGUAAUUUGAUCUUUUCAGGGUCACCAAUAGGAGCUAGGUAACAAACAAGAGUAGGCUUUGUUUGUUGCAUUACGAGAUAGUAAAAGAGAGUUUUGAUGGUCUGUAAUUCAACAUGCUGGAUGGGAAAAUACUUUUAGGCAGAUUCCAUAUGAACUAACAAAAUCUUAACAUGUCUAUAAAUGCUAAAAUUCUACUCAGGAUUUUGGUUGGUUGUGCAAGUGAACCAAAUUUGUCUUCACCUACAAAUGAAAUUAGCUCGAUUAGCUGAAUCCUAAUGAAUAAUUUAAAAUGUAAAUAAUAGAAAAUAAUAUGAUUAUUAUAUGUUUAUUUAUAUACCAGUUAUUAUGUAUGGAUCUUAAUUUUAGGAUUUAUAAAUUAGUGCAGCUAAUAUGAGAAUAAAUAUAAAUUACGCCACUGACCCUGCCGGAAAAAUUAAGACUCAUGUAUACCUUUACAUUUCUAAUGCUAACAGUGGGAACACAGACUCCAUCCAGAAUAUUUUUCAGAUCAAACAUAGGGCAUCUACUCUCAAAAUGCCUGAAAUCAUAUCUUAUAGUCAAUACCUUGGUCUGUGUAUCAUCUUAA